Molecule: ribosomal RNA, 495 nt
Filed under: uncultured bacterium
Lineage: Bacteria
Description: partial 16S ribosomal RNA
Rfam family: Bacterial small subunit ribosomal RNA
Source: RNAcentral
GAUGAACGCUGGCGGCGUGCUUAACACAUGCAAGUCGAACGGGAAACUUUUCAUUGAAGCUUCGGCAGAUUUGGUCUGUUUCUAGUGGCGGACGGGUGAGUAACGCGUGGGUAACCUGCCUUAUACAGGGGGAUAACAACCAGAAAUGGUUGCUAAUACCGCAUAAGCGCGCAGGAUCGCAUGGUCCGGUGUGAAAAACUCCGGUGGUAUAAGAUGUGACCCGCGUUGGAUUAGCUAGUUGGCAGGGUAACGGCCUACAAAGGCAACGAUCCACAGCCGGCCUGAGAGGGUGAACGGCCACAUUGGGACUGAGACACGGCCCAGACUCCUACGGGAGGCAGCAGUGGGGAAUAUUGCACAAUGGGGGAAACCCUGAUGCAGCGACGCCGCGUGAAGGAAGAAGUAUCUCGGUAUGUAAACUUCUAUCAGCAGGGAAGAUAGUGACGGUACCUGACUAAGAAGCCCCGGCUAACUACGUGCCAGCAGCCGCCGUAA